Molecule: ribosomal RNA, 254 nt
Filed under: uncultured bacterium
Lineage: Bacteria
Description: partial 16S ribosomal RNA
Rfam family: Bacterial small subunit ribosomal RNA
Source: RNAcentral
UACAGAGGUCUCGAGCGUUAGGCGGAAUCACUGGGCUUAAAGCGUGUGUAGGCGGAUCGUUAAGUACCUUGUGAAAUCCCACGGCUUAACCGUGGAACUGCUUGGUAUACUGGCGGUCUUGAGCCAGCUAGGGGCUACCGGAACAAAUGGUGGAGCGGUGAAAUGCGUAGAUAUCAUUUGGAACGCCGAAGGUGAAAACAGGCUGCUGGGGGUUGCGCCGACGCUGAGACACGAAAGCCAGGGGAGCAAACGGG